This 1025-nucleotide ribosomal RNA is filed under the name Salmonella enterica subsp. enterica serovar Enteritidis. RNAcentral describes it as "partial 23S ribosomal RNA". It matches the Rfam family "Bacterial large subunit ribosomal RNA", at positions 161 to 1227 of the family's 2925-position model. Lineage: Bacteria; Pseudomonadati; Pseudomonadota; Gammaproteobacteria; Enterobacterales; Enterobacteriaceae. The record is from RNAcentral.
AAUCCAUAGGUUAAUGAGGCGAACCGGGGGAACUGAAACAUCUAAGUACCCCGAGGAAAAGAAAUCAACCGAGAUUCCCCCAGUAGCGGCGAGCGAACGGGGAGGAGCCCAGAGCCUGAAUCAGCAUGUGUGUUAGUGGAAGCGUCUGGAAAGGCGCGCGAUACAGGGUGACAGCCCCGUACACAAAAGCGCAUGUGCUGUGAGCUCGAUGAGUAGGGCGGGACACGUGGUAUCCUGUCUGAAUAUGGGGGGACCAUCCUCCAAGGCUAAAUACUCCUGACUGACCGAUAGUGAACCAGUACCGUGAGGGAAAGGCGAAAAGAACCCCGGCGAGGGGAGUGAAAAAGAACCUGAAACCGUGUACGUACAAGCAGUGGGAGCACCCUUUGGGUGUGACUGCGUACCUUUUGUAUAAUGGGUCAGCGACUUAUAUUCUGUAGCAAGGUUAACCGAAUAGGGGAGCCGGAGGGAAACCGAGUCUUAAUUGGGCGUUAAGUUGCAGGGUAUAGACCCGAAACCCGGUGAUCUAGCCAUGGGCAGGUUGAAGGUUGGGUAACACUAACUGGAGGACCGAACCGACUAAUGUUGAAAAAUUAGCGGAUGACCUGUGGCUGGGGGUGAAAGGCCAAUCAAACCGGGAGAUAGCUGGUUCUCCCCGAAAGCUAUUUAGGUAGCGCCUCGUGAAUUCAUCUCCGGGGGUAGAGCACUGUUUCGGCUAGGGGGCCAUCCCGGCUUACCAACCCGAUGCAAACUGCGAAUACCGGAGAAUGUUAUCACGGGAGACACACGGCGGGUGCUAACGUCCGUCGUGAAGAGGGAAACAACCCAGACCGCCAGCUAAGGUCCCAAAGUCAUGGUUAAGUGGGAAACGAUGUGGGAAGGCCCAGACAGCCAGGAUGUUGGCUUAGAAGCAGCCAUCAUUUAAAGAAAGCGUAAUAGCUCACUGGUCGAGUCGGCCUGCGCGGAAGAUGUAACGGGGCUAAACCAUGCACCGAAGCUGCGGCAGCGACACUGUGUGUUGUUGG